GACGAACGCUGGCGGCGUGCUUAACACAUGCAAGUCGAACGGUGAAGGGGUCUGCUUUUGUGGGCCCUGGAUGAGUGGCGAACGGGUGAGUAACACGUGAGUAACCUGCCCCCUUCUUCUGGAUAACCGCAUGAAAGUGUGGCUAAUACGGGAUAUUCUGGGUCUGUCGCAUGAUGGGUCUGGUAAAGCUUGCGCCUUUGGGUGUUUUUGGUGGGGGAUGGGCUCGCGGCCUAUCAGCUUGUUGGUGGGGUGAUGGCCUACCAAGGCGGUGACGGGUAGCCGGCCUGAGAGGGUGGACGGUCACACUGGGACUGAGACACGGACCAGACUCCUACGGGAGGCAGCAGUGGGGAAUAUUGCACAAUGGGCGCAAGCCUGAUGCAGCGACGCCGCGUGAGGGAUGGAGGCCUUCGGGUUGUAAACCUCUUUCGCCAGUGAAGCAGGCCUGCUCCUUGUGGGUGGGUUGACGGUAGCUGGAGAAGAAGCGCCGGCUAACUACGUG
This 502-nucleotide ribosomal RNA is filed under the name uncultured bacterium. Its description in RNAcentral is "partial 16S ribosomal RNA". It matches the Rfam family "Bacterial small subunit ribosomal RNA", at positions 28 to 507 of the family's 1533-position model. The record is from RNAcentral.